This 424-nucleotide ribosomal RNA is filed under the name Microbacterium sp. RNAcentral's name for it is "partial 23S ribosomal RNA". It matches the Rfam family "Bacterial large subunit ribosomal RNA", at positions 2513 to 2925 of the family's 2925-position model. Lineage: Bacteria; Bacillati; Actinomycetota; Actinomycetes; Micrococcales; Microbacteriaceae. The record is from RNAcentral.
AUGGUUUGGCACCUCGAUGUCGGCUCGUCGCAUCCUGGGGCUGGAGUAGGUCCCAAGGGUUGGGCUGUUCGCCCAUUAAAGCGGCACGCGAGCUGGGUUUAGAACGUCGUGAGACAGUUCGGUCCCUAUCCGCCGCGCGCGCAGGAAACUUGAGAAAGGCUGUCCCUAGUACGAGAGGACCGGGAUGGACGAACCUCUGGUGUUCCAGUUGUCGCGCCAGCGGCAUUGCUGGGUAGCUAAGUUCGGAAAGGAUAACCGCUGAAAGCAUCUAAGCGGGAAACCUACCCCAAGAUUAGAUAUCCCUUCUUCGUGGAAACACGGAGAACUAAAGGCCCCUUGAAGAACACGAGGUUGAUAGGCCAGGGGUAUAAGUGUGGUAACGCAUUGAGCUUACUGGUACUAAUCGGCCGUGCGGCUUGGCCAC